CCCCUAGAUGUUCUGGGCCGCACGCGCGCUACACUGAUGGAUUCAACGAGUCACACAUCGUCAUUGACGUUGUUGUCCUUGGUCGGAAGGCCUGGGUAAUCUUGUAAAUGUCCAUCGUGAUGGGGCUAGAUUUUUGCAAUUUUGAAUCUCCAACGAGGAAUUCCUAGUAAACGCAAGUCAUCAGCUUGCAUUGAUUACGUCCCUGCCCUUUGUACACACCGCCCGUCGCACCUACCGAUUGAAUGGUCCGGUGAAGCCUCCGGAUUGGCGCGCACCUCGGUGCCGCCGAGAAGUUGGCUAAACCUUACCAUUUAGAGGAAGGUGAAGUCGUAACA
RNAcentral lists this ribosomal RNA (335 nucleotides) under uncultured eukaryote. Its description in RNAcentral is "partial 18S ribosomal RNA". It matches the Rfam family "Eukaryotic small subunit ribosomal RNA", at positions 1470 to 1796 of the family's 1831-position model. The record is from RNAcentral.